ACGGGUGAGUAACACGUGGGCAACCUGCCCUUGAGACUGGGAUAACUUCGGGAAACCGGAGCUAAUACCGGAUAAUAUAAGGAACCUCCUGGUUCCUUGUUGAAAGAUGGUUUCGGCUAUCACUUAAGGAUGGGCCAGCGGCGCAUUAGCUAGUUGGUGAGGUAACGGCUCACCAAGGCGACGAUGCGUAGCCGACCUGAGAGGGUGAUCGGCCACACUGGGACUGAGACACGGCCCAGACUCCUACGGGAGGCAGCAGUAGGGAAUCUUCCACAAUGGACGAAAGUCUGAUGGAGCAACGCCGCGUGAGUGAUGAAGGCCUUCGGGUCGUAAAGCUCUGUUGUUAGGGAAGAACAAGUGCGAGAGUAACUGCUCGCACCUUGACGGUACCUAACCAGAAAGCCACGGCUAACUACGUGCCAGCAGCCGCGGUAAUACGUAGGUGGCAAGCGUUAUCCGGAAUUAUUGGGCGUAAAGCGCGCGCAGGUGGUUUCUUAAGUCUGAUGUGAAAGCCCACGGCUCAACCGUGGAGGGUCAUUGGAAACUGGGGAACUUGAGUGCAGAAGAGGAAAGUGGAAUUCCAA
Molecule: ribosomal RNA, 584 nt
Filed under: uncultured bacterium
Lineage: Bacteria
Description: bacterial SSU rRNA
Rfam family: Bacterial small subunit ribosomal RNA
Source: RNAcentral